GGCUCAACCUGGGAACUGCAUUCGAAACUGGCAGGCUUGAGUCUUGUAGAGGGGGGUAGAAUUCCAGGUGUAGCGGUGAAAUGCGUAGAGAUCUGGAGGAAUACCGGUGGCGAAGGCGGCCCCCUGGACAAAGACUGACGCUCAGGUGCGAAAGCGUGGGGAGCAAACAGGAUUAGAUACCCUGGUAGUCCACGCCGUAAACGAUGUCUACUUGGAGGUUGUGCCCUUGAGGCGUGGCUUCCGGAGCUAACGCGUUAAGUAGACCGCCUGGGGAGUACGGCCGCAAGGUUAAAACUCAAAUGAAUUGACGGGGGCCCGCACAAGCGGUGGAGCAUGUGGUUUAAUUCGAUGCAACGCGAAGAACC
This 365-nucleotide ribosomal RNA is filed under the name Salmonella enterica. RNAcentral describes it as "bacterial SSU rRNA". It matches the Rfam family "Bacterial small subunit ribosomal RNA", at positions 606 to 970 of the family's 1533-position model. RNAcentral also lists the same sequence under 2 other names. Lineage: Bacteria; Pseudomonadati; Pseudomonadota; Gammaproteobacteria; Enterobacterales; Enterobacteriaceae. The record is from RNAcentral.